UGGGGAAUAUUGGACAAUGGGCGAAAGCCUGAUCCAGCAAUGCCGCGUGAGUGAUGAAGGCCUUAGGGUUGUAAAGCUCUUUUACCCGGGAAGAUAAUGACUGUACCGGGAGAAUAAGCUCCGGCUAACUCCGUGCCAGCAGCCGCGGUAAUACGGGGGGAGCUAGCGUUGUUCGGAAUUACUGGGCGUAAAGCGCACGUAGGCGGCUAUUCAAGUCAGAGGUGAAAGCCCGGGGCUCAACCCCGGAACUGCCUUUGAUACAGCAAGUCUUGAGUCCGAUAGAGGUGAGUGGAAUUCCUAGUGUAGAGGUGAAAUUCGUAGAUAUUAGGAAGAACACCGGUGGCGAAGGCGGCUCACUGGAUCGGUACUGACGCUGAGGUGCGAAAGCGUGGGGAGCAAACAGGAUUAGAUACCCACGUAGUCCCUGAGCGGGCUGGCAAGGCGCAU
This 447-nucleotide ribosomal RNA is filed under the name uncultured bacterium. Its description in RNAcentral is "bacterial SSU rRNA". It matches the Rfam family "Bacterial small subunit ribosomal RNA", at positions 355 to 825 of the family's 1533-position model. The record is from RNAcentral.